This 245-nucleotide ribosomal RNA is filed under the name uncultured bacterium. RNAcentral's name for it is "partial 16S ribosomal RNA". It matches the Rfam family "Bacterial small subunit ribosomal RNA", at positions 524 to 768 of the family's 1533-position model. The record is from RNAcentral.
UACAGAGACGGCAAGCGUUGCUCGGAUUCAUUGGGCGUAAAGGGUCCGCAGGCGGUCGGCUAAGUCGGAUGUGAAAUCCCGCGGCUUAACCGCGGAAAGUCAUUCGAAACUAGUCGACUAGAGGACUGGAGAGGAGACCGGAAUUGUCGGUGUAGCGGUGAAAUGCGUAGAUAUCGACAAGAACACCAGUGGCGAAGGCGGGUCUCUGGCCAAUUCCUGACGCUCAGGGACGAAAGCGUGGGGAG